UCGGACGUGGUGCACGGUGCACGCCUGCCUCACCUAUAUUCGGUACACCCACAAAUUUGUAGGCAGGAAUCCCGGGUUCGACUCCCGGCGUUCGAA
Non-coding RNA from Mycena galericulata, 96 nucleotides. The record is from the annotation of a GenBank genome assembly. NCBI's taxonomy places the organism in Eukaryota, Fungi, Basidiomycota, Agaricomycetes, Agaricales, Mycenaceae.